AACUUCUUAAAAGUGUUUUGAAAACACGAGAAAGAUAUAAUAUCUAGAAGUUU
Molecule: transfer RNA, 53 nt
Filed under: Longipodacrangonyx sp. 1 MDMBR-2012
Lineage: Eukaryota; Metazoa; Arthropoda; Malacostraca; Amphipoda; Metacrangonyctidae
Description: transfer RNA Serine
Source: RNAcentral